UUGAUUCAGCAGCACAUAUACUAAAACUGGAACAAUAGAGAAGAUUAGCAUGACCCUCAUGCAAGAAUAAUAUGCAAACUUAUAAAGUGUUCUUUUUUUUU
Small nuclear RNA from Callithrix jacchus (white-tufted-ear marmoset), 101 nucleotides. The record is from Ensembl. Lineage: Eukaryota; Metazoa; Chordata; Mammalia; Primates; Cebidae.